CCAGACAGCCUAAAUCCUCUUAAAGUCCCAGAUCUCAUCUGAUCUUAGAAACUAAGCAGGGUCAGCCUUGAUCAGUACUUGGAUGGAAGACUGUCAACAAAUAGCAAGUUCUGUUGGUU
Anolis carolinensis (green anole) is the source of this 119-nucleotide ribosomal RNA. Lineage: Eukaryota; Metazoa; Chordata; Lepidosauria; Squamata; Anolidae. The record is from Rfam.